AAGUCGUAACAAGGUAACCGUAGGUGAACCUGCGGUUGGAUCAUUACUAAAUGAUACUCUUUUUAUACUGCAUAGGAUCGUAAAAAAGUCCUAUGUAGUGUAAAAAACACCAUGUGAACCUUUUUCUGUAUUUUGUCUUUGCUGAUGUUCGGUGUGUAAGUCUCGGCUUAUGCAUACGGUCGGCAAUGGCAAACAUAUAUAAACACUUGUUUAUUUAUGCAGUCUUAAAUACUUUUCUAAAUGAAAAAACAACUUUUGACAACGGAUCUCUAGGCUCUC
RNAcentral lists this unclassified non-coding RNA (279 nucleotides) under fungal sp. RNAcentral describes it as "partial internal transcribed spacer region". The stretch from base 1 to 46 matches the Rfam family "Eukaryotic small subunit ribosomal RNA", at positions 1786 to 1831 of the family's 1831-position model. The record is from RNAcentral. Lineage: Eukaryota; Fungi.